This 226-nucleotide ribosomal RNA is filed under the name uncultured bacterium. Its description in RNAcentral is "partial 16S ribosomal RNA". It matches the Rfam family "Bacterial small subunit ribosomal RNA", at positions 118 to 346 of the family's 1533-position model. The record is from RNAcentral.
UGAGCAAUCUGCCCUUCUCAUCGGAAUAAGCGUUGGAAACGACGUCUAAUGCCGAAUACGACCUCCUUUCGCAUGAUCGGAGGUGGAAAGCUCCGGCGGAGAAGGAUGAGCUCGCGGCCUAUCAGCUAGUUGGUGUGGGUAAUGGCCCACCAAGGCGACGACGGGUAGCCGACCUGAGAGGGUGAUCGGCCACAUUGGAACUGAGACACGGCCCAGACUCCUAGGA